AUACUCUGGUUUCUCUUCAGAUUGUAUAAAUCUUUCACCUUUUACUAAAGAUUUUAGUGGAGAGGAACAUUAACCAUGUACACACACAUCCACUGGAAGUUCUUCUGAACGCAGCACC
This is a small nuclear RNA of Varanus komodoensis (Komodo dragon), 118 nucleotides long. Its record names the gene U5. It matches the Rfam family "U5 spliceosomal RNA". Rfam says of the family: U5 RNA is a component of both types of known spliceosome. The precise function of this molecule is unknown, though it is known that the 5' loop is required for splice site selection and p220 binding, and that both the 3' stem-loop and the Sm site are important for Sm protein binding and cap methylation. The record is from Ensembl. Lineage: Eukaryota; Metazoa; Chordata; Lepidosauria; Squamata; Varanidae.